CAUAUGGAGGCUCCCAGGCUAGGGGUCCAAUUGGAGUUACAGCUGCUGGCCUACGCCACAGCCACAGCAACAUGGGAUCUGAGCCACGUCUGUGACCUACACCACAGCUCACGGCAACACCAGAUCCUUAACCCACUGAGCGAGGCCAGGCAUUGGACCUGCAACCUCAUGGUUACUAGUUGGGAAUUAGCUUAUGAUCAUGGAGGCUGGCAGCCCGAAAUCUGCAAGGUGGGCCAGCAGGCUAGAUAGAGACCCAGAAGAGAGCUGGUGCUGCAGGGCAAGUCCACAGGCCUCUGCUGCACAAUUCCCUCUGACUCAGGGGAGGUCAGUCUUCCAGUCUAGCCAGGCCUUCAACUGAUUGAGUGAGGCCCACCCACAUGACGGAAGGCAAUCUACUUACUCGAAUACCAUGGAUGUAAAUAUCAACUUCAUCCAAUACACACCCUCACAGAAACAUUCAGAAUAAUGUCUGUGAACAGGCACCUGGGCACCAUGGUCCAUCCAAAUUGACACACAAAAUUGACCAUCACAUCCACUAAAGUUUUUGAGCAGGACUAUCAGCAAAACUGACUUUGGCAAGAUUCAGUUGGAAGGGAGUGGGGAGAAGUGGAGAAGGGGGCACUGGGAGACAGGAAUAUCAGCUGAAAGGCGAUUUCAAUAACCCAGGCCAGCCAUGAGGGCUUCCACCAAAGAAGAGGUGAUGGGGAAAUGAUUUAAUUAGCAUCUGCUAAAAGAAAGUAUGAAUGGAUUCUGUGACUUGACAAGACCACACACACACAAACACACACAGACACAGCUUUAUAGGAAGUUCGCAUUUCCUCCUGGGACUCCAACACAAUGCAGAGGAAAGGAAGUUUUGUAAAUAGCACACAGGGAUGGAAGUGAUGCAGCAGAGAGAUACAGGAUUUGCAUCAUUUGCACUUCCCUCCUUAGAGGAGCGCUGUGCCUGCUCUGUGGGUCACAUACGCCCAAUUCUCCCUCUUUCCAACCAAGAGCCUCUCUUAAAAGUAAGUAACCACAGCACAGACCUGGAAAAGUUGGUUAGCUGGCCCCCAACCUAUGCUUCCCUUCAUCCUCAGAAAGAACCCUGCAAGCUAAAAAACUUCAAGCCAUGGAGCACUCCCCAUGACCAUGUGACUAUGUCCUAGGCCUGAAACAGAAGCAGGGUAUUGUCUGGGACUUCUCAGUAGAUGCUUUAAAACAGGAAGGGCACAUGUCCCUUCCUCUUCCUCUCUUCCUCCCUCUAUCCUGAAAUACAGAUGUGAUGGCUGGAGCUCCUGGGGCUAUCUUGGACCAUGAGGUGACUUUGACGAUGGGACUCACAUACUAAGAUUAAGCAAUACGUAGGAUGCUGGAUCUCAGAUGAUCGUGGGCUCAUGGCAUCAACCUAGAUCGCCUAAUUCAGGUCUUCCUUUAGGUGAGAGAAGGCAUUCUUGUGUGUUUAGGCCACUGUUGUUCAGUCUUCUGCUACUUGCAGCCAAUGCAAUUCCUGGUUGAUACAAGCUAAAUCCAUUAUUUUGUACAUAAGGCAAUACAAAUUUCAGAAUUUUAGGCUGUAGAAGUUCAUCUGUAUAUCUUCAUAUGGCCUUGGGGUUAGUAUGGGGCCAGAGAGAAGAAGAAUCCAUAUAAAUUCAUACAGUGUCUUACAUCUCAUGACUUCCUUCCAACAACUGCCCUCAGAGAGGCCCACUACAGAGGCCUUCAGCCACCCUGGUUGGGUGCUCAGGGUCAGUGUGAAAACGUCUCCCAGUCAUCUCUGUCUAAAGAGAAACUUCACUCAGGUGGCUUAAGCCUAAGGUCAAGGAACUUAAAUUCAAAGAAUGAGAGAAACUCUUAGAAGAUACACCAUGAUUUUUAGAAAUAAAAAACGCCUGGCACCUUCUCUGCAGCACAGUGCUUUACCAAAAGGCCGGGGAACACGCUGGAGGCUGGUGCUGAAUUGAUGAGCACGUGAUAUUUUUUUUUGUUACUUCCACUUGAACCACUUCCUCAAAGUGAGGCUUCCUAAAACCAGCAGAUCACUGCCUUAAAUGAAGCAAAGAGGCACCCUUUGUCAUGAGAAUGCAAGCUCCCUUGGGCCUAGGGAAAUUCUAAAUGGAAAAAUGAAUAAACAAGGACAUGAAGAAAUGACCAAACGAACUACUAAAGGCACUCGAGGAUGGGGAAGAGGGGAAAGCUGGAAGGAGGCCAGCACUGGGGAAGUCAGAGGAAGAACAGCUGCGGAGCCCGCCUUCUGGAAGGUGAUUCAGAAGAUACUCAGUGGGUGUGGCCACCCAUGGAGCCCUUCAGAAAUCAUCGGUCAAGGAAGGGGGUCAGGAGGGGACAGAGAAGGUCUCAGAUUUGCCCACUUAUCUCUGACACCCCAUUUCCUCACAGAAGCGCCAGGCUGAGGACUAGGACAGCAGGGUGAGCGACCUGAGGGUGUUUUAGCAGCACUGAACCACCUCCUGCCCUGACCUGCACCUUCGCCACACCUGCCAGGCGGGGACCACACCCUCUCCACAGCUCCACACAUUGUGACUUCAGGAGCCCUGAGAAGGGGCGGCUGACUCCGAAACCACUUUCUCCAUCUGGCUGAUGACUCAAACCGCAAGUUCCCUCCUCGGCAGGGCUGCCAGAUUUAGCAAAUAAGAAAUACAAGACUCUCCGUUCCAUUUGAAGUUCAGGUAAACACAUCGUCUGUUUUAGUGAAGGGUACCCCAACUACUGUACGGGACAGAGCAACGCCAAAAAAACCCCGAAACGAUCUGAAGUUCAAAUGGAGCAGGGUGACAGGUGCCCAGUAUUCUGUCUGCUAACCCCACCUCUGGCUUGGACUCCACCAGGACCUUCCACUAGGCGGAAAUGAAAACUCAUCAACAGCGCUGACUCCUCAGCCCUUCCCUCUUGGUAUGACGCUGAUGGUUCCUCCACACACGUUCCAAGAAGCUCCUGCUGGCCUCAAGCUGGCAAUCAGCAUCCCACCAGGCCGGAAGCAGAAUGUCCUAAGCUAUGCGAGUAUUUUCCAAGCAGAACUCAAAUGUCCAAAGAUCGUAAAUCUCAAAGCCUUAUUAUUCACCCACUGCUCAGAAGGAACGAGCCUAUCAGAUUCUGAGGGGGAGGUUUUCCUAGAAGAGAAGGGGGGACAUAAAGUCACACUGGGAGGGGUGGGAGAGAGGAGAGGAAGGGAGGAAAGUGGGGUGGGGGUGGGGGACCCAGGCGAAGGAAGUUAGGUCAAAAUGCUCAAGAGAAUGUUCCCACUAGCUGGAGACCAAACCUUGUUGCCUGGCAACACGAAAGGCCUGUGUGGAAGAAACUUGUAGCAAAAACAUAUCCCACGCUCUGAUUUUCUGCAACUGAGAAACCAGUCCCCCUAGUGCUGCCUCCAUGGGAUGCCACUGGUUUACAAGGGGGAGAGAGAGGACGGGGUGAACCAUGUCCAUGCAGUGAUUAUAUUGAUUUUACUGGCGACUGAUGGAAGUGGGGAGGGAGGUGGGGAGGGAAGACAGAAAAGAAAAAGAGAAACAUCCCAGCAGCCUUGUGGUUUCAGAUUUGUGGAGCAAAACUCCACAUCCUGCUUCCCCUCCAACUGCCGUCCUGCGGUGACACACCACAUCUGUCCGCUUCAGGCAGCAUGUCACCCACCAAGAGGGACUUUAGGUAAGCAGCCAGGCCUCAGUGAAGGAAAAAGGAGAUGGUCCCUGACAAGUUUCCAACCAACCAGACGGGCUGGGGAGCAUCUCCAGCUUCAUGCUGCCCCGCUGAGACUCUGCUGGCCACCAGCCUCAUUCCUGGCUUCCUGCCACCUGCCAGGCAAGAAAGGGUCAAAUGCCAGUGGACCUC
Molecule: long non-coding RNA, 3822 nt
Filed under: Sus scrofa (pig)
Lineage: Eukaryota; Metazoa; Chordata; Mammalia; Artiodactyla; Suidae
Description: lncRNA (ENSSSCG00005035886.1)
Source: RNAcentral